GUUGGUUAUGGUGAUAUGAGACCUGUAACAAUGUGGGGUAAACUUGUUGGAUCAUUAUGUGCUAUUGCCGGUGUAUUAACUAUUGCAUUACCAGUACCUGUGAUUGUUUCAAAU
Schistosoma curassoni is the source of this 114-nucleotide non-coding RNA. The record is from Rfam. Lineage: Eukaryota; Metazoa; Platyhelminthes; Trematoda; Strigeidida; Schistosomatidae.